UGCCCCCACUCGCUCCCUCCCUCCCCCGUUAGCCUUGACUCAGGCUUGUUGCACUCUCUCAGCUGCUUGGCUGAACAGUGACUCUUGAUUGGUGGUUGAGAUGGAGAAGGAAGCCUUGGGAGUAUUUAUAGAGAUUCUCUCAUUUACCAGAACAAUAACAACCCUCCCCCACACCAAGAGAGAGAGAGAGGCAAACUGACUUUUGGUUUCACAUCUUCGGGGGGAAUGUGGCUUUUCCAUUCAUGUUGGUGGCACGUGGCAAUAAUAAAAGAAAACAGGCUUGAAGUAAUAUAGUUCAUUCAUGUGUUGAAUUAAGAUUCAGAGAGCAAACUUGUGGGAUUCUCUGGAGUUGCCCAAUUAGUUCCAAGCAAUUGUUUUAAGCAUUUUAUUCUAGUCUAAUUGUCUCCAGUGAAUGCAACAAGUUACAAAAAGUACUAAAUUAGUUGUUCAAAGUAUGAAUAUUAACAUUAACUGCCAGAGUCCAGAUCAUUUCCAGGUAUUAAAAACACAUUUUUGAUUUGUCUGAGAUAGGCAAACGCAUGCACUGUAUUACAGGAAUGGCUCCCAGUACCAGCACCAUAAUGAUGCAAGUGAAACCAAUGCAUUUAAAGGAUGUGGCAGCAUGUUCCUCCUAGUACUCAGUCAUAUGGCUCCACCUCUAUAAACCCACAUGUCUGCACCAGCCAUAAGGCCUGGUGCAGUGUUGACACGGCCAGUCACUGCUGGCAGAGACAGCGCUGGAUUAAUCAGGACUCACCAGAAAGCAGAGGACUAAUACAGAACAAUGAUGUUGAAGAAGAAAUAACAAGGAAGAGAAGUAAAUCAUAUCUGUUUACGAUCACAUCUUUUAACUACUAAUGCCAGGUUCUUUUUAAAAUUUAAAAUUUUAAUCUUUCAUUCUAAAUGGAUGAUGUUUGGUGGGUUUCAUGUAUUCAAAAGAGAAUUAAUGUACUGGGGGGAAAAAGUGGGUUGGCUAAUGCAAAUGAUAUGCGAUGAUCACAGAUGCAUUACUUCUGAGAGACUGACAAUGCACGCCCACAGCUGACACUCAGUGGAUCUCCUGCCUGCCAUUAUCUCUGUUGGGUAUGUGCAAGAGGGGAAAAAACAAACAGAGUUAGCAUGGUGUCUGGCCGCCAAAGGGAAUAUCUUGUUCCACUUCCUCGUUCCGCGAUUGUGGGUGUUACAUUUCUUCAAGCUUCUCCUCUACCAACAUGCAGGGAUGGGGACGGUUGUCAAGUGUUUCAUGAUCGUACAGGUGGUUCCUCUGUGGAUAACAACAGUGAUCCACUGCACUACACUCUGGGUGGGUGCUCUUGCUCCAAGGGGGCUCUCCACACAUUCCCAGACGCUGUUGAGGAGCAAUGAACAUUGGCCUCUACAGACUCUCUGUCGGUUUUUCUUGACGUGACGCGGAUGAUCUAGUCCAAUGACCAAACACUGUUUUCAGACAUUAAUUUCCGUUAAAUGUCCGCAAAGUUGUGUCUGGACAUUUUGUGAAUUCAUAUGUGAGUUUGCAUUUCACAUAUGACGAACACAGUUUGCAGUUUACAGUCAUCGACGUGCCCACUCGCUUCGCAGGGGAUUCUCCAAAGACUUUCCUGCUGUAUUCUCACAUGGACUCACUGGGACAUUCCCCGGAAAUUUGACUAGGGGGCUGGCAGGGAAAAACGUUCCGGACAAUGUUCGAGGCAACAUUUGCUUGGUUCAUUUGCAUUCUCACAUACAACCGCUUCUGGGGGAGUUCAAGGAAAUGUCCGUCACGUUGUUUUGCCUUCAUGCUGGCAGCACAGGUUGUCACAGUUGAUGUAGAGGGGAGAGCCAGCAUGGUCGGAAUGGACGCCAAAAGCGGCUGCGUUGCUAAAUGCCUGCACACUGUGUGCAUCACUGCGGCGGCAAUAUGCCAGCUUUCUUUGGUUUUAGUGUAAACAAGUAAAACCAGCAUGACGAGGGGUCGUCUUAGCAGCAAUAUAGCGGCACCUCUGUUAAAAACGAGUUGCACAUACAUUUUCUCACUUGCUCUUUCCCCUAGAAACACACACACACUCAUAUAAGAACGGAAAUCAAUAAACGGCUUAAGACAAGGUUUGCAGACGGUCAUCCUAUAAACCGUAUAGAUUACAGUCAGCGUUGCGGAUAAAUCUGUGAAACAUACACAGUAAAUAAGGAAAACAGCCUUUAAGCGGUGUCUAAUCACAACAACAAAUGCGAUAUUCAGCAUGAUUGCAAAUUGCAUCGUGGCAAAUUGGAUUCUUUAUUCAAAUAUCUUGGGUUUUAAAGAGACAGCGAUGUGACUGGUGAGCUCCUGAAGGGACGGACACAUUGCCUGUGCUCUGUAAAGAAGAAUGACACUAUCAGGAGCUUCUGGCUCUGUAAUUUAAAAAAAAAUUAAAGAUGGUUUUGAUGCAUUUUAAAAUGCAUCUUUGUCAUAUGGUCACAGACUGCAGUAAUCUUACACAACACAUAUGUCCGACUAAAAGAGAGUUUAUCACGGCACAACAACAAAAACUUAUGUUGAUUCUUUGUUUUAUUUGGACUGACUGGCUGGGUGAGUUUCUCAGAAAGCACCAACACCUGGGAGUGGCUUAUUAACACAAGCUUAAAG
Molecule: long non-coding RNA, 2602 nt
Filed under: Scophthalmus maximus (turbot)
Lineage: Eukaryota; Metazoa; Chordata; Actinopteri; Pleuronectiformes; Scophthalmidae
Description: lncRNA (ENSSMAG00000028513.1)
Source: RNAcentral